UACGAAGGGGGCUAGCGUUGCUCGGAAUUACUGGGCGUAAAGGGCGCGCAGGCGGCUCAUUUUGUCAGGCGUGAAAGCCCCGGGCUUAACCUGGGAACUGCGUUUGAUACGGAUGGGCUAGAGUUCGGGAGAGGAGAGUGGAAUUCCCAGUGUAGAGGUGAAAUUCGUAGAUAUUGGGAAGAACACCGGUGGCGAAGGCGGCUCUCUGGACCGAUACUGACGCUGAGGCGCGAAAGCGUGGGGAGCAAACAGG
This 253-nucleotide ribosomal RNA is filed under the name uncultured bacterium. RNAcentral describes it as "partial 16S ribosomal RNA". It matches the Rfam family "Bacterial small subunit ribosomal RNA", at positions 524 to 776 of the family's 1533-position model. The record is from RNAcentral.